RNAcentral lists this microRNA (22 nucleotides) under Echinops telfairi (small Madagascar hedgehog). Lineage: Eukaryota; Metazoa; Chordata; Mammalia; Afrosoricida; Tenrecidae. The record is from RNAcentral.
AACACACCUGGUUAACCGCUUU